This is a non-coding RNA of Hypomontagnella submonticulosa, 90 nucleotides long. The record is from the annotation of a GenBank genome assembly. Lineage: Eukaryota; Fungi; Ascomycota; Sordariomycetes; Xylariales; Hypoxylaceae.
GGUGUCUUGGAGAAGUGGUAACUCGCUCCUUUUGGGGAAAUAAACUUUUCAGAAUAGGAGAGAUCAGGGGUUCGAACCCCCUAGGCGCCC